This 204-nucleotide ribosomal RNA is filed under the name uncultured bacterium. Its description in RNAcentral is "partial 16S ribosomal RNA". It matches the Rfam family "Bacterial small subunit ribosomal RNA", at positions 1298 to 1500 of the family's 1533-position model. The record is from RNAcentral.
CUGUAGGCUGCAACUCGCCUACACGAAGCUGGAAUCGCUAGUAAUCGCGGAUCAGCACGCCGCGGUGAAUACGUUCCCGGGCCUUGUACACACCGCCCGUCACACCAUGGGAGUUUGUAACGCCCAAAGUCGGUGGCCUAACCUUUAUGGAGGGAGCCGCCUAAGGCGGGACAGAUGACUGGGGUGAAGUCGUAACAAGGUACC